UAGGCGAUAGGUCAAUUCAUAGGUCAAUUUACAUUUUGAUUAUUCUGCAAACCGCAUAAAUACAAUAAGAAAAGGACUUGAACUGACGGACUCUGACUCCGUCAUCUCAAGGUUCGAAUCCUUGUAGCCCAG
This 132-nucleotide transfer RNA is filed under the name Lachnospiraceae bacterium. RNAcentral's name for it is "tRNA-Gln". Lineage: Bacteria; Bacillati; Bacillota; Clostridia; Lachnospirales; Lachnospiraceae. The record is from RNAcentral.